Bufo gargarizans (Asiatic toad) is the source of this 481-nucleotide long non-coding RNA. RefSeq lists it as uncharacterized. The record is from RefSeq and is a predicted model, not a curated record. The transcript is spliced from 5 exons. NCBI's taxonomy places the organism in Eukaryota, Metazoa, Chordata, Amphibia, Anura, Bufonidae.
GGAUCAUCUUCUCAUCUUAAUCAUCUCCUGAAGAUCAUUCACUGACAGGCGCAAUUUUGCAACUUCUGCAGUGAUGGCCACAAUGACGACUCUUCUGUUAUUUUGCUCAGUUAUUACUUUAGGCUUUCUUUACGGUGUACAAGGUCAAGAUUGCCCUGUUGGAGCUGAAAUGUCAGAAUGUUAUGGUUGUUGGUCUGAAUGUCCAGUGCCUGAUAUAUCUUGUAUCCAAGCUUGUACAACUGGCUGUGUAUGUACACAGGCUGGAUAUCUAAUAGGUCCUGAUAACAAAUGUAUCCCAAAGGAAGACUGUCCAUAGGUGAAAUAAUAAGAUGAAGGCAAGAAACCUCUGAUCAAAAGGACCACGACAUUGACGUCUCAGAGAAGAUUUGUUCCUAGUCCUGAUAAAAAAUAUGGCUAAAAUAAAAUUGCAUGUGUAAAAUUUCUAACUAUUAUACCCAAUAAACCAUUGAUAGCAUCGUAA